CUCCAGCCCCGAUUGAAGCGGAAAUCCUUUUCUGCCGGGGUUCGGCAUAAAAGAUUACAGCAUAAAGCGGGAUAAGCU
RNAcentral lists this small RNA (78 nucleotides) under Flavobacterium sp. 245. Its description in RNAcentral is "Flavo-1 RNA". It matches the Rfam family "Flavo-1 RNA". The record is from RNAcentral. Lineage: Bacteria; Pseudomonadati; Bacteroidota; Flavobacteriia; Flavobacteriales; Flavobacteriaceae.